Non-coding RNA from Potamilus streckersoni, 72 nucleotides. The record is from the annotation of a GenBank genome assembly. NCBI's taxonomy places the organism in Eukaryota, Metazoa, Mollusca, Bivalvia, Unionida, Unionidae.
CGGUUCAGUUAAAUUCAUUGGUUAGAACGUCCGCCUCGGAUGCGGGAGGUCGUGGGUUCGAACCUCGGCCGA